RNAcentral lists this transfer RNA (95 nucleotides) under Palleronia marisminoris. Its description in RNAcentral is "tRNA-His". The record is from RNAcentral. Lineage: Bacteria; Pseudomonadati; Pseudomonadota; Alphaproteobacteria; Rhodobacterales; Roseobacteraceae.
CCGCUGGUUCCUGCGGCGGCGGCUGGAGCGGGCCGUGGCCCGGCUGAACCGGCGGCUGGUCCUGCCGAUCGAGCCGUUCAAGCUGCUCCGGCGGC